AGUAAAGGAUUAAGCCUGCAUGAUGUAGAAGUGAUGUAUCCAUAUAUGUAUAAUAUAGACGAGAAGUUAAACAUUAAACCACCAAUGAGUUACUCUAAACUUGAACUGGUGCAUACCACUGAUCUACAGAAUGGGGAUAUAAUAUCGAACCAGCACGUACAUUAUCAAAUAACAAAUCAAGGAUUAACUAGCCACACAAAUAUUCAAGUUGAGGAAAGUGGUGUACAGGACACAGGGGUUCACGUACAGUACUGUGCAAAAGAUGUUCAUAAUCUAAUUUCUGUUCAAAAAUACCAGAGCCGGCGAUUUAAAAAAUUCAAGAAAAUACGACUCGGGUCUAAGCUGUUGUUGAGCCUUAUUUACGGCUCGGGU
Molecule: long non-coding RNA, 372 nt
Organism: Eurytemora carolleeae
Lineage: Eukaryota; Metazoa; Arthropoda; Copepoda; Calanoida; Temoridae
Exons: 3
Source: RefSeq, a predicted model, not a curated record